AGAAAAGUGACCGCCGCCCCGCGCAGGGGCGACGCUAGCAGACCGUUAGCGCAACAGGUUCAACGAAAGGGCGUAGAGAACCAAAAACAAACCCACGCCCCCGCGAGCCACCU
Molecule: non-coding RNA, 113 nt
Organism: Burkholderia cenocepacia J2315
Lineage: Bacteria; Pseudomonadati; Pseudomonadota; Betaproteobacteria; Burkholderiales; Burkholderiaceae
Source: Rfam